This 416-nucleotide ribosomal RNA is filed under the name uncultured bacterium. RNAcentral describes it as "bacterial SSU rRNA". It matches the Rfam family "Bacterial small subunit ribosomal RNA", at positions 954 to 1362 of the family's 1533-position model. The record is from RNAcentral.
AUGGGAACGCGAAGAACCUUACCUAGACUUGACAUCUCCUGAAUAGUGUAGAGAUACAUGAAGCCCUUCGGGGUCAGGAAGACAGGUGGUGCAUGGUUGUCGUCAGCUCGUGUCGUGAGAUGUUGGGUUAAGUCCCGCAACGAGCGCAACCCUUAUUACUAGUUGCUACCAUUAAGUUGAGCACUCUAGUGAGACUGCCCGGGGUUUAAACCGGGGUAGGAAGGCGGGGUAUGACGUCAAAUCAUCAUGCCCCGUUAUGUCUAGGGCAACACACGUGCUACAAUGGUGAGUACAGAUAGAUGCGAUACCGCAAGGUGGAGCCAAACUCUAAAACCUCAUCCCGAGUUCGGAUUGUAGGCUGCAACUCGCCUACAUGAAGUUGGAGUUGCUAGUAAUCGCGAAUCAGAAUGUCGCGG